This 23939-nucleotide long non-coding RNA is filed under the name Triticum aestivum (bread wheat). Its description in RNAcentral is "long non-coding RNA (TAES_LNC023561)". The record is from RNAcentral. Lineage: Eukaryota; Viridiplantae; Streptophyta; Magnoliopsida; Poales; Poaceae.
UCCUGAAUUAAUAACAGCAAGACAAUGGUCCGCGUGUUUGUAUAUAAUAAAUAUCACACAGGUUUUGUAUAUGUGUAGCCGGUUCUAGAAUUUACAUAUGCAUGCUCGAGAACCUAUGUUCGUACAUACACACACAGACCAUAUAGAAUGAAAAAUAUGCUCUGGUCGUCCAGCAGAGUGGUGGACAAAAGUUAAGUUCACAAAAGACCUUCAUACAUAGGCCAUUGUUUCAACUCGUAGUUUAGGCCUUGCCAGACUCCUCGCAACCCGGUGGCCUGAAGGCGAUGAAGCUGACGCACUGCACCUGGCGCAGGUUGUCGAAGCCGAUGACGCGGACAUAGGCGUCAGGGUACUCCUUCUUGACCUCCUCCACCUCGUUGAGCACCUGUGUGGCGUCGGUGCACCCGAACAUAGGCAGCUUCCACAUUGUCCAGUAUCGACCAUCGUAGUACCCGGGGGAGCUGUUGUGCUCACGGAAAACGAAGCCAACCUUGCUGAACUCGAGGCAGGGCACCCACUUGGAGCGGAUCAAGUAGUCGACCUGCUUCAGGAGGGCCUCCGUGGAGAGGGGUGGCAAGUAAGACAGGGUCUCGAACUUCUUGAUGCCCUCAAUCGGCCACACCUGAAUGAAUAGAAUGCGCAGAUGCUCAAUACUUGGUGCUAAGUAAAUUAAUUGUACCAACAAUUCUAGAAAAAUCUGUUGAUGAGCAAAAAAUUGCUCCUGAUGGACAGGUCUCAUAUGCAUUGUUCGUUUGUCCACAAUGAAGAAAGCUUAAGGGUAGCCCUUAAACUGAUGGGCACUCUGAAGGUACUAAGAUAAUUUUAUCUAGUCCAUGCUGCAAUAAAAAGUAUUUCCAUUCACUAAGUUAUGAGUUGAUUGCUUUUACAUACGGAUCCCAGCUUAGGGACAAGGUUGAAUGAGCAUCCAAAGCCAAAUGGUUUCCAUAGGCAACAAAACAAACAGAUAAUAAGGUUUCGGAAUAAUCUGUUGACCAAAUUAUGUUAUAAAUUGGGGAUGUUCUGCAAGUGAAUUACUUGUACUGCCAAAGAAACUCAUGUCAGUUUAAUUAGUGACUGACAUACCUGCAUGCACCUGAUCCUUCCGCCGUUGCUGACGCUGCCGAGGCCGGCGCUGCUGGAGCGGCGGCUGACGGGCAGGCCCGCGGUGGACUUGAGACCCUGGAAGGGUGCGACGGAGGUGGCCGAGGAAGCCAUCACAGUGGGGGCCAUGGUGUUGGAGGAGGGAAGGUGGCAGGCUAAGCUUGAGGCCCCCAUUGCUGGGUCACCACGGUAUAUAUAGCCAUAUAUGGCCAGCUCCUAUCUUUAAUCAAGAUGUGGAAGGGGUGGCUGGCGUUCGUUGGUUGCCUGGUUUCCUUAUCUCUCCGGAUUAGUGUAAGAGGCAUGGCCGUUGGAUGAGUUGUGUGUGCCGAAAAUUUCAGUCGUCCAUGCCAUUGUGUGAUUGCCACAAACCCUUUUUCCAGCCUUGCAUGUACUGUAUUAUUCUUUUCGUUUUAUUUUGCUAAAGGUAACGCUUGAAAGGUGCAGGAAGAACUUCCUUUGCUGAUUUGCGAUUUAAGUUGAGUGGCACAGGCAUAACGAAUGUUAUAGUACAUCCUUUAUCCACUUCUAUAAUACAAACUUGUCAAUCAAUUAUGCUUGCUUGUAACCUUUGGCGCUUCAUUUUAUAAAAUUUUAUACAGGUAACGUACACAUUUGCUGCAUGUGUGAUGUGUGUCAUCAUGACCUUUAUGUCUUUUAUUCACAAUUAUUCAUUGGAACACAAAAGUGUUGUACUGUUUUCUACGCCUAAUCAUUUACAUGCCCUGGAGGAUUUUUAGUAUUGGAAAUGCUAUUUAAUUGGGUGUCCAAGCAAGGUAGAACUUUGUUCUAAUCCACGAGCAAAAGUUUUAGAUCCCUCUGUUGUCCAUUUACUCAGUUCGUGUCGGCCCCAGUGAACUCAUAAAUUACAUAUGGUGAGUCCAUCAUGAUUUUGUAUCAUCGUUGAAUCUAGCCCACAAAAAAGGCAGAUGUAUAUUCAUUCAUUUCAUGGUGAUGAAGCAACCUGCAAAAUGAUGCGAUCGACCAUGACCACUCAGUGAUAUGGCAAUCAUGUAGACGGACAUUGUGAUCAUCUAGUCAUUUAAGAUAGAUGUCGUGAUCUUCUUGUGUGACCGUCUCAUAGAUUUGAGCUGCAAAUCGAAUCUUAUAUUCUUCCAAAAAAAAUUCUGAAUUUCCUGCAUGUAAGAUGAUAAAGCUGAGUUUGUAAUUAAUUAUUUUUUGUGAAUCCUUAAUGAUAAUUAACACGACCCAGAUAUUACAAAAUAUCCAUAAUUAUCAUGACUGAAUCAAUAAAUUACUAUUGCAGAAUGAACCUUCCAUAGGCCCCUCCACUUGGGCCCGCCGGUGGAGAGAUUCAUCACUCAUGGGCCACAAAACGCCAGCCAUGCAGGAGGACCUUCACUAACGGGCCCUUAAGUUGGCAUCAAUGGAGGGUCACCCAUGGGGCCCAUAGAUCCAACUGAAUGGACGGUCCAUCUCUACUGACGGUCGUACCACACCACUCGUCAAUGUUGGGUGGCCCGUCGGUGCUGAAUUAAGGUAUUUCUAUCUACUGGAGACGAAGUGGCCUUAUAUGCGCUUUCUCUUUUCUCCUAAACAAAACCAUGCCGCCGCCCCCAAUCCCUUCAUCCCCAACAUCAUCACCACCCUAUCCAAUGUUUUCGUCUCCUUUCAUGUGUGCCCCCUCCUUCUCCCACAUUGAUCUGGUCCAACGCUACCGUCUCAUCCCGCGAUUAUCGUCAUCUACUCUUCGGUUACUCGUGACGGCGCGGGUUGUGGCUUCCCGCUUGCUCUCUCGUAAGAAUGGUUGGGUAAACCCCAAGUGUAAGGAUGAAGUAACCUAGUAAUAAGUAUUGUCCUCAAUACGUUUCUCAAACCAGUAGGAAUUUCUUCUACAACCCAAAUCCUCGGUACCUGCACACCAAACACAAAACAAUCUUGCCCCAACGUUUCAAGAAGGUUGUCAAUCUUCUUGUCCUACUAGUUACAAGGAUUAGUUGUUAGUUGAAAGCAAAUAUCGGUUGCUAAGUAGCCUUAGUGCGGUUCGCACCUUUAGACCUGCCAUGGCACUGUCAACACUAUACUCGCCAUGCUUAGGGUUCACACUUUUUAUAUACACCAAGAUCAGCCUAGGUGCUUCGUGUCGUACUAGCACUAAUCCAGCCAUCAAUAUAAAGGAAAUGCUACCCAUAGUUCCAAAGCUUAGUUAUUCAAAUAUGAGUCAGAUAUGGUACUAAUAUUAGUUUAAAAAAGGCACAUGUAGUUGGUCAGCCAAUGUUCCUUCUUGAGUUUCAAAAUACACGUACGCCACUUAAAGAGAGACAUGAGUGAAUAGUAUUUCUUUGUGCCAUCUUCUCCAUCAUGGAUGGGCAACGAACAUUGCGUUGUAUAGAAAGAAGAGUUAUAUCCACCUUUUACAUAGAUUAUGAUUUGCCUAAUUUCGAAGCUUAUUUGUUCAAAUAUGAGUUUGAUAUGGUACUGAUAUUAAUUAAACAAACACACAUUUAAUUGUCAGCUAAUGUUCCUACUUCAGUUUUGAAAUGCAUGUCCGCCCCUUAUAGAGAGACAGAAGAGGUUUGUAUUUCUCCAGGCGCUCUGGUCAUCAUGGUUGAGGGAUGAACUUUGUAUAUCGUAUAGGUUGAAGCUAUCAUCUGCCAACAAUCAUCACUUUUGGAGAUCUCAACAGGGAGCCUUUUUUAAGUAGUAGGGUCAUAUUAUAUUAAUGCACGCACCAAAUUACAACACACAUAGCAUCCCUCGGCAGACUUCUAGAGAUAGUACGCAUGGGUCUAUAAGGACGCACUAUUGGGGUAGAAUCCGCAAUGCAUUUGUGACACCCCGAUUGAGAGAACCGGAGGUCCUCGUGUUCCAGCCCAGAGAUCCAUGUCUUCUGGAACAUGACUAUAACUUGGUACAUGUAGACCAAAAUAAAUAAGUACUUAUGUACAAUAGCGUCUUAAUAGUACAAUCCUCUUGCACAGCAGGUGGACACGUCUAAGUGUCAGAAGCUCAAGGGCUUUAUUCUAUGAGUGACUUAAGGAAGUACUAAAGACGGAAAUAAUACUAAUGACACAACGGAAGACGGGGUACCGGCGGGGCUCCAAUCCAAAGAGACACUGCUGGGACACCAUCUAGUCCAGGUACAUGAACUCUUCGGGAAACUCUUCUAUUGGCUCUCCAGUAUCUGGAAUGAUAAGGCAGGUGAGUACUUUGAAUGUACUCACAAGCCCACAAAUAAUCCAAAGCAAGCAAGAACAGAACAAAUAAACAUAGCAACGAAGUAAAGAUUAGUGAAGCUACUACUAUCAAGACUACUCCAUAAACUUCUCAUUUGCUUGUUUAACGUCCACUGGACCUCUUCCUGGUGAAGGAAAUAUGCCCUAGAGGCAAUAAUAAAGUUAUUAUUUAUUUCCUUAUAUCAUGAUAAAUAUUUAUUAUUCAUGCUAGAAUUGUAUUAACCGGAAACAUAAUACAUGUGUGAAUAUAUAGACAAACAGAGUGUCACUAGUAUGCCUCUACUUGACUAGCUCGUUAAUCAAAGAUGGUUAUGUUUCCUAGCCAUAGACAUAAGUUGUCAUUUGAUUAACGAGAUCACCUCAUUAGGAGAAUGACGUGAUUGACUUGACCCAUUCCGUUAGCUUAGCACCCGAUCGUUUAGUAUGUUGCUAUUGCUUUCUUCAUGACCUAUACAUGUUCCUCUGACUAUGAGAUUAUGCAACUCCCGUUUACCGGAGGAACACUUUGUGUGCUACCAAACGUCACAAUGUAAAUGGGUGAUUAUAAAGGUGCUCUACAGGUGUCUCCAAAGGUACUUGUUGGGUUGGCGUAUUUCGAGUUUAGGAUUUGUCACUCCGAUUGUCGGAGAGGUAUCUCUGGGCCCACUCGGUAAUGCACAUCACUAUAAGCCUUGCAAGCAUUGUGACUAAUAAGUUAGUUGCGGGAUGAUGUGUUACGGAACGAGUAAAGAGACUUGCCGGUAACGAGAUUGAACUAGGUAUCGAGAUACCGACGAUCGAAUCUCGGGCAAGUAACAUACUGAUGACAAAGGGAACAACGUAUGUUGUUAUACGGUCUGACCGAUAAAGAUCUUCGUAGAAUAUGUGGGAGCCAAUAUGGGCAUCCAGGUCCCGCUAUUGGUUAUUGACCGAAGACGUGUCUCGGUCAUGUCUACAUAGUUCUCGAACCCGUAGGGUCCGCACGCUUAAAGUUACGAUGACAGUUUUAUUAUGAGUUUAUGUAUGUUGAUGCACCGAAGGAGUUCGGAGUCCCGGAUGAGAUCGGGGACAUGACGAGGAGUCUCGAAAUGGUCGAGACGUAAAGAUCGAUAUAUUGGACGACUAUAUUCGGACUUCGGAAAGGUUCUGAGUGAUUCGGGUAUUUUUCGGAGUACCGGAGAGUUACGGGAAUACGUAUUGGGCCUUAUUGGGCCAUACGGGAAAGAAGAAAAAGGGCCUCAAGGGUGGCCGCACCCCUCCCCUUGGUCUGGUCCGAAUUGGACUAGGGAAGCGGGGCGCCCCCUUCCUUCCUUCUCUUUUUCCCUUCCUCUUUUCCUAUUCCAUAUGGGAGGUGGAAUCCUACUAGGACUAGGGAGUCCUAGUAGGACUCCACACUUGGUGCGCCCCCUCCUAGGGCCGGCCUCCUCCUCCCUUGCUCCUUUAUAUACGGGGGCAGGGGGGCACCCCAGAGACACAACAAUUGAUCCUUGAGAUCUUUUAGCCGUGUGCGGUGCCCCCCUCCACCAAAUUACACCUCGAUAAUAUCAUUGCGGAGCUUAGGCAAAGCCCUGCGUCGGUAGAACAUCAUCAUCGUCACCACGCCGUCGUGCUGACGAAACUCUCCCUCAACACUCGGCUGGAUCGGAGUUCGAGGGACGUCAUCGAGCUGAACGUGUGCAGAACUCGGAGGUGCCGUGCGUUUGGUACUUGAUCGGUCGGAUCGUGAAGACGUACGACUACAUCAACCACGUUGUGAUAACGCUUCCGCUGUCGGUCUACGAGGGUACGUGGACAACACUCUCCCCUCUCGUUGCUAUGCAUCGCCAUGAUCUUGCGUGGGCGUAGGAAUUUUUUUGAAAUUACUACGUUCCCCAACAGUGGCAUCCGAGCCUGGUUUUAUGCGUUGAUGCUAUGCACGAGUAGAACACAAGUGAGUUGUGGGCGAUAUAAGUCAUACUGCUUACCAGCAUGUCAUACUUUGGUUCAGCGGUAUUGUGAGAUGAAGCGGCCCGGACCGACAUUACGCGUACGCUUACGCGAGACUAGUUUCACCGUUCGGAGCACUCGUUGCUUAAAGGUGACUGGCGGGUGUCUGUCUCUCUCACUUUAGUUGAACCGAGUGUGGCUACGCCCGGUCCUUGCGAAGGUUAAAACAGCACCAACUUGACAAACUAUCGUUGUGGUUUUGAUGCGUAGGUAAGAACGGUUCUUGCUAAGCCCGUAGCAGCCACGUAAAACUUGCAACAACAAAGUAGAGGACGUCUAACUUGUUUUUGCAGGGCAUGUUGUGAUGUGAUAUGGUCAAGACAUGAUGUGAUAUAAUGUGUUGUAUGAGAUGAUCAUGUUUUGUAACCGAGUUAUCGGCAACUGGCAGGAGCCAUAUGGUUGUCGCUUUAUUGUAUGAGAUGCAAUCGCCAUGUAAUAGUUUUACUUUAUCACUAAACGGUAGCGAUAGUCGUAAAAGCAAUAAGUUGGCGAGACGACAACGAUGCUACGAUGGAGAUCAAGGUGUCGCGCCGGUGACGAUGGUGAUCAUGACGGUGCUUCGGAGAUGGAUAUCACAAGCACGGUGCUUCGGAGAUGGAGAUCACAAGCACAAGAUGAUGAUGGCCAUAUCAUAUCACUUAUAUUGAUUGCAUGUGAUGUUAAUCCUUUAUGCAUCUUAUCUUGCUUUGAUUGACGGUAGCAUUAUAAGAUGAUCUCUCACUAAAAUUUCAAGAUAAAAGUGUUCUCCCUGAGUAUGCACCGUUGCAAAAGUUCUUCGUGCUGAGACACCACGUGUUAAUCGGGUGUGAUAGGCUCUACGUUCAAAUACAACGGGUGCAAAACAGUUGCACACGCGGAAUACUCAGGUUAAACUUGACGAGCCUAGCAUAUACAGAUAUGGCCUCGGAACACAGAGACCGAAAGGUCGAGCGUGAAUCAUAUAGUAGAUAUGAUCAACGUAGUGAUGUUCACCAUUGAAACUACUCCAUCUCACGUGUUAAUCGGAUAUGGUUUAGUUGCUUUGGAUCACGUAAUCACUUAGAUGAUUAGAGAGAUGUCUAUCUAAGUGGGAGUUCUUAAGUAAUAUGAUUAAUUGAACUUAAAUUUAUCAUGAACUUAGUCCUGAUAGUAUUUUGCAAAUUAUGUUGUAGAUCAAUAGCUCGCGUUGUUGCUUCCCUGUGUUUAUUUUUUGUUCCUAGAGAAAAAUUAUGUUGAAAGAUGUUAGUAGCAAAGAUGCGGAUUGGAUCCGUGAUCUGAGGAUUAUCCUCAUUGCUGCACAGAAAAAUUAUGUCCUUGAUGCACCGCUAGGUGACAGACCUAUUGCAGGAGCAGAUGCAGACGUUAUGAACGUUUGGCUAGCUCAAUAUGAUGACUACUUGAUAGUUUAGUGCACCAUGCUUAACGACUUAGAAUCGGGACUUCAAAGACGUUUUGAACGUCAUGGACCAUAUGAGAUGUUCCAGGAGUUGAAGUUAAUAUUUCAAGCAAAUACCCGAGUUGAGAGAUAUGAAAUCUCCAACAAGUUCUAUAGCAAAAAGAUGGAGGAGAAUCGCUCAACUAGUGAGCAUGUGCUCAGAUUGUCUGGGUACUACAAUCGCUUGAAUCAAGUGGGAGUUUAUCUUCCAGAUAAAAUAGUGAUUGACAGAAUUCUCUAGUCACCAUCACCAAGUUAGUAGAACUUCGUGAUGAACUAUGGUAUGCAAGGGAUGACGAAAGUAAUUCCCGAGCUCUUCGUGAUGCUGAAAUCGAUGAAGGUAGAAAUCAAGAAAAACAUCAAGUGUUGAUGGUUGACGAGACCACUUCAAGUGUUGAUGGUUGACGAGACCGCUAGUUUCAAGAAAAGGGCAAAGGGAAAAAGGGGAACUUCAAAAAGAACGGCAAGCAAGUUGCUGCUCAAGUGAAGAAGCCUAAGUCUGGUCCUAAGCCUGAGACUAAGUACUUCUACUGCAAAGGGACUGGUCACUGGAAGCGGAACUACCCCAACUAUUUGGUGGAUAAGAAGGAUGGCAAAGUGAACAAAGGUAUAUUUGAUAUACAGAUUAUUGAUGUGUACUUUACUAGUGUUUAUAGCAAUCCCUCGGUAAUUGAUACUGGUUCAAUUGCUAAGAGUAGUAACUCGAAACGGGAGUUGCAGAAUAAACAGAGACUAGUAAAAGUGAACAAAGGUAUAUUUGAUAUACAGAUUAUUGAUGUGUACUUUACUAGUGUUUAUAGCAACCCCUCGGUAAUUGAUACUGGUUCAGUUGCUAAAGAGUAGUAACUCGAAAACGGGAGUUGCAGAAUAAACAGAGACUAGUAAAAGGCGAGGUGACGAUGUGUGUUGGAAGUAGUUCCAAGAUUGAUAUGAUCAUCAUCGCACACUCCCUGUACUUUUGGGAUUAGUGUUGACACUAAAUAAGUGUUAUUUGGUGUUUGCGUUGAGCAUGAAUAUGAUCUGAUCAUGUUUAUUGCAAUACGGUUAUUCAUUUAAGUUAGAGAACAAUUGUUGUUCUGUUUACAUGAAUAAAACCUUUAUGGUCAUACACACCAACGAAAAUGGUUUGUUGGAUCUCGAUCGUAGUGAUACACAUAUUCAUAAUAUUGAAGCCAAAAGAUGCAAAGUUAAUAAUGAUAGUGCAACUUAUUUGUGGUACUGCCGUUUAGGUCAUAUUGGUGUAAAGCGCGUGAAGAAACUCCAUACUGAUGGGAUUUUGGAAUCACUUGAUUAUGAAUCACUUGAUGCUUGCGAACCGUGCCUCAUGGGCAAGAUGACUAAAACGCCGUUCUCCAGAACUAUGGAGAGAGCAACAGAUUUGUUGGAAAUCAUACAUACAGAUGUAUGUGGCCCGAUGAAUAUUGAGGCUCGUAGCAGGUAUCAUUAUUUUCUGACCUUCACAGAUGAUUUGAGCAGAUAUGGGUAUAUCUACUUAAUGAAACAGAAGUCUGAAACAUUUGAAAAGUUCAUAUAAUUUCAGAGUGAAGCGAAAAUCAUCGUAACAAGAAAAUAAAGUUUCUACGAUUUGAUCGUGGAGAAGAGUAUUUUAGUUACGAGUUUGGCCUUCAGUUAAAACAAUGUGAAAUAGUUUCACUACUCACGCCACCUGGAACACCACGGUGUAAUGGUGUGUCCGAAACAUCGUAACCGUACUUUAUUAGAUAUGGUGCGAUAUAUGAUGUCUCUUACCGAUCUACCACUAUCGUUUUAGGGUUAUGCAUUAGAGACAGCUACAUUCACGUUAAAUAGGGUAUCAUCUAAAUCCGUUGAGAUGACGUCUUAUGAACUGUGGUUUGGCAAGAAACCAAAGUUGUCGUGUCUUAAAGUUUGGGGUUGCGAUGCUUAUGUGAAAAAGUUUCAUCCUGAUAAGCUCAAACCCAAAUCGGAGAAAUGUGUCUUCAUAGGAUACCCAAAGGAGACAGUUGGGUACACCUUCUAUCACAGAUCCGAAGACAAGACAUUCGUUGCUUAGUAUGGAUCCUUUCUAGAGAAGGAGUUUCUCUCGAAAGAAGUGAGUGGGAGGAAAGUAGAACUUGAUGAGGUAACUGUACCUGCUCCCUUAUUGGAAAGUAGUUCAUCACAGAAAUCUGUUCCUGUGACUUCUACACCAAUUAGUGAGGAAGUUAAUGAUGAUGAUCAUGUAACUUCAGAUCAAGUUACUACCAAACCUCGUAGGUAAACCAGAGUAAGAUCCGCACCAGAGUGGUACGGUAAUCCUGUUCUGGAGGUUAUGUUACUAGACCAUGACGAACCUACGAACUAUGAAGAAGCGAUGGUGAGCCCAGAUUCCGCAAAAUGGCUUGAGGCCAUGAAAUCUGAGAUGAGAUCCAUGUAUGAGAACAAAGUGUGGACUUUGGUUGACUUGCCCGAUGAUCGGCAAGCAAUUGAGAAUAAAUGGAUCUUCAAGAGGAAGACGGAUGCUGAUAGUAGUGUUACUAUCUACAAAGCUAGAAUUGUCGCAAAAAAGGUUUUCGACAAGUUCAAAGUGUUGACUACGAUGAAAGUUUCUCACUCGUAUCUAUGCUUAAGUCUGUCCGAAUCAUGUUAGCAAUUGCCGCAUUUUAUAAAAUAUGGCAAAUGGAUAAACAAAACUGCAUUCCUUAAAGGAUUUAUUAAAGAAGAGUUGUAUAUGAUGCAACCAGAAUGUUUUGUCAAUCCUAAAGGUGCUAACAAAAUAUGCAAGCUCCAGCGAUCCAUCAAUGGACUGGUGCAAGCAUCUCGGAGUUGGAAUAUACGCUUUGAUAAGUUGAUCAAAGCAUAUAGUUGUAUACAGACUUGCGGUGAAGCCUGUAUUUACAAGAAAGUGAGUGGGAGCACUACAGCAUUUCUGAUAAGUAUAUGUGAAUGACAUAUUGUUGAUCGGAAAUAAUGUAGAAUUAUUCUGCAAAGCAUAAAGGAGUGUUUGAAAGGAGUUUUUCAAAGAUAGACCUCGGUGAAGCUGCUUACAUAUUGAGCAUCAAGAUCUAUAGAGAUAGAUGAAGACGCUUGAUAAGUUUUUCAAUGAGUACAUACCUUAACAAGAUUUUGAAGUAGUUCAAAAUAGAACAGUCAAAGAAAAGAGUUCUUGCCUGUGUUACAAGGUGUGAAAUUGAGUAAAGACUCAAAGCCCGACCACGGCAAAAGAUAGGAAGAGAAUGAAAGUCAUUCCCUAUGCCUUGGCCAUAGGUUCUAUAAAGUAUGUCAUGCUUUGUACCAGAUCUAUUGUAUACCCUACACUGAUUUUGGCAAGGGAGUACAAUAGUGAUCUAGGAGUAGAUCACUGGACAGCGGUCAAAAUUAUCCUUACUGGAAUAAGGAUAUGUUUCUCGAUUAUGGAAGUGACAAAAGGCUCGUCGUAAAAGGUUACGUCGAUGCAAGUUUUGACACUAAUCUAGAUGACUCUAAGUCUCGGUCUAGAUACAUAUUGAAAGUGGGAGCAAUUAGCUAGAGUAGCUCCAUGCAGAGCAUUGUAGACAUAGAAAUUUGCAAAAUACUUACGGAUCUGAAUGUGACAGACCCGUUGACUAAAAUUAUCUCACAAGCAAAACAUGAUCACACCUUAGUACUCUUUGGGUGUUAAUCACAUAGCGAUGUGAACUAGAUUACUGACUCUAGUAAACCCUUUGGGUGAUGGUCACAUGACGAUGUGAACCAUGGGUGUUAAUCACAUGGUGAUGUGAACUAUUCAUGUUAAAUCACAUGGCGAUGUGAACUAGAUUAUUGACUCUAGUGCAAGUGGGAGACUGAAGGAAAUAUGCCCUAGAGGCAAUAAUAAAGUUAUUAUUUAUUUCCUUAUAUCAUGAUAAAUGUUUAUUAUUCAUGCUAGAAUUGUAUUAACCGGAAACAUAAUACAUGUGUGAAUAUAUAGACAAACAGAGUGUCACUAGUAUGCCUCUACUUGACUAGCUCGUUAAUCAAAGAUGGUUAUGUUUCCUAGCCAUAGACAUAAGUUGUCAUUUGAUUAACGAGAUCACCUCAUUAGGAGAAUGACGUGAUUGACUUGACCCAUUCCGUUAGCUUAGCACCCAAUCGUUUAGUAUGUUGCUAUUGCUUUCUUCAUGACCUAUACAUGUUCCUCUGACUAUGAGAUUAUGCAACUCUCGUUUACCGGAGGAACACUUUGUGUGCUACCAAACGUCACAACGUAAAUGGGUGAUUAUAAAGGUGCUCUAUAGGUGUCUCCAAAGGUACUUGUUGGGUUGGCGUAUUUCGAGAUUAGGAUUUGUCACUCCGAUUGUCGGAGAGGUAUCUCUGGGCCCACUCGGUAAUGCACAUCACUAUAAGCCUUGCAAGCAUUGUGACUAAUGAGUUAGUUGCGGGAUGAUGUGUUACGGAACGAGUAAAGAGACUUGCCGGUAACGAGAUUGAACUAGGUAUCGAGAUACCGACGAUCGAAUCUCGGGCAAGUAACAUACUGAUGACAAAGGGAACAACGUAUGUUGUUAUGCGGUCUGACCGAUAAAGAUCUUCGUAGAAUAUGUGGGAGCCAAUAUGGGCAUCCAGGUCCCGCUAUUGGUUAUUGACCGGAGACGUGUCUCGGUCAUGUCUACAUAGUUCUCGAACCCGUAGGGUCCGCACGCUUAAAGUUACGAUGACAGUUUUAUUAUGAGUUUAUGUAUGUUGAUGUACCGAAGGAGUUCGGAGUCCCGGAUGAGAUCGGGGACAUGAUGAGGAGUCUCGAAAUGGUCGGGACGUAAAGAUCGAUAUAUUGGACGACUAUAUUCGGACUUCGGAAAGGUUCUGAGUGAUUCGGGUAUUUUUCGGAGUACCGGAGAGUUACGGGAAUACGUAUUGGGCCUUUUUGGGCCAUACGGGAAAGAAGAAAAAGGGCCUAAGGGUGGCCGCACCCCUCCCCUUGGUCUGGUCCGAAUUGGACUAGGGAAGGGGGGCGCCCCCUUCCUUCCUUCUCUUUUUCCCUUCCUCUUUUCCUAUUCCAUAUGGGAGGUGGAAUCCUACUAGGACUAGGGAGUCCUAGUAGGACUCCACACUUGGUGCGCCCCUCCUAGGGCCGGCCUCCUCCUCCCUUGCUCCUUUAUAUACGGGGGCAGGGGGGCACCCCAGAGACACAACAAUUGAUCCUUGAGAUCUUUUAGCCGUGUGCGGUGCCCCCCUCCACCAAAUUACACCUCGAUAAUAUCAUUGCGGAGCUUAGGCAAAGCCCUGCGUCGGUAGAACAUCAUCAUCGUCACCACGCCGUCGUGCUGACGAAACUCUCCCUCAACACUCGGCUGGAUCGGAGUUCGAGGGACGUCAUCGAGCUGAACGUGUGCAGAACUCGGAGGUGCCAUGCGUUCGGUACUUGAUCGGUCGGAUCGUGAAGACGUACGACUACAUCAACCGCGUUGUGAUAACGCUUCCGCUGUCGGUCUACGAGGGUACGUGGACAACACUCUCCCCUCUCGUUGCUAUGCAUCACCAUGAUCUUGCGUGUGCGUAGGAAUUUUUUUGAAAUUACUACGUUCCCCAACACCUGGCACGAGUCCUGCUCAAACGACUCAUCGACAUAACUUACCAGUUACCACAGCUAUUAGAGUUUAAAGUAAAGGAAUUUUGGUGCUUGGUCAAAUAAUGUGACCUAACACAAACGGUGUCCCAUUGCCAGGGACUCGGCUAUUCGAAUAGUUUGAACACACACUCUGUAGAGGUCACACAGUUUACCCACACCAUAGACUCUUUGUCUAACUAUUCUCAUUCAUAGCAUGGCACUCUAACUAUGCCUCCGACCUCCCGCGGGCUUGCCCUGGCAGAGAGAAUCUGGGUCCUUUCCACCCCGUGUUGCACCACUUGUAUUCCCUUGGGAAUCUUUUCUCUUAAGCUCAUCCACAGACCCUGGCUCUCUUGACUGAAUGGCAACUUCCAAGCCAGAGGAAGUCUACACAUUCCAUCUUCCCUCUUCGGAAACACACGAAAGAAACAUAACUACAAACGUAAUAAAGCCCUCCCAUUCGGACAGAUGUGCUUGUAAUGAGGAUGUUCGGCUUCGUGGCAGUUGGAUUGACCAGCUAUUUAAAGUUGGGUUAACAAGGAAAGUAAAACCGUGACUUUGUAAGCUACUGAAAUCCACAACUUGUUAUCCUACUAGGGUGAAGUAUUCACGAGGAUUCAUCAUCCUAAGUAAAGUCUUUCCCCGAGAUUCUUCGUGAACGUUGCUACCUAUUUUGCUUAUGAUUCAUGUUGGCAAAAUAAUUACCGGUUAUGAGUCAUAGUUAAACUUCUAUUCUACUAGGACCAAAUCAAGGCAUCCUUUAUAGUGACUCACUAUGCUAUUUCAACCACAACAAACUUAACAUAAGCAAAGGGAAGCAACAAACAACAUUGAAAGAAAAGUAAUGUUGGAAAAGAAAUGUAAGUUGAACCCAUGGCCUUGCAAUGCCAUCAAGCAAAUGGAGGUGGUGGCUUGCCAUGCUCAAAUGGAGUAGCAAAGCAUUCUUUGUCUUCACCUCCUGGAUUAUUUCCUUCUGGAAAUAAUUUAAAAAGCAAAAUACAAUAAAGCAAAUAAGUCAAAAGUGUGUCUAGCAGCAUCUAGACAAGUCAAAUAAAUCUCAAAUUAUUCCCACAGAAGGAGAAUAAUAUAAGAAAAGUAAUGCAAAAAGAAUAAACUCAUUUGGAGUUAUGGUUUAAGAGAUAUUACUCAUCACAGCUUAGUCAACAGAAUAUAAGUAAAACAAAAAAUAGCCUGAAAUAGAAAAUCCACCAAGCGGCCACGUCGAAGGCGUAUUUCAGAAAUACGCCCCCACUUACGUACCAGUUCGGCAGGGGUUGUAUCACUGACGGGUGGGGCCAUCCUGUCAGUUUUCUUUUUUAAACACCCGGCCGAGGUGUGGUGUUCUAGCGAGGUCUCACCGGCGACUACAGAGCGCUAGGGCUCGAACGAGUGGGAUCACCUUUUGAGAGGUAUACGCAUUUAUUGUGAUUUGUUAGAAUACUCUAUGUGCUUCACUUAUAUCUUUUGAGCUAGGCAGUUGCUCUGGUGCUUCAUUAUAUCUUUUAGAGCACCGUGGUGGUUAUAUUUUAUAGAAAUGAUUGCACUCUCAUGCUUCACUUAAAUCUUUUUGAGAGUCCAUAUAUAGGAAGUGGUAAUGUGCACGUGUUAUAAGACUAGUCCGAGAAGGAUAGGUAUUCAAGGGGGAUACAAUAAAAACUUUCAUGUAGAUCACUAAAUAUGAAAUGUAUAAUUUAAUGAUAUUGAUGUUGUAAUAUGAAAGGAUAUUAGUUCAUGAUCAUUGGUUAGUAGAAAUAUCAGUAUUAAAACUUGUUAUUAACUUCUCAAAUAAGUGUUGGUCAUGGCAUGGUGGCCAGGUUUGAGCAUUUGUAUUUCUGAUUGAAAUCCUUGAGUGCUAUUAUAAUCGGAUGCGCGCGAUGGUUAACUCCUACCAACAAAUUCCCUAGGGGCAUAUGUGAGUAGUACUUUGCUUAGAAGGAUAAUAGGAGUUCACAAUAAGUAUGUCAGUUCUUUAUGACUAAUGUGAGUCCAUGGAUUAUAUGCACUCCUACCUUUCCGCAAUUUGCUAGGCUCUGCUGUACCGUGCAUUGCCCUUUCUCACCUCGAGAGUUGGUGCACACUUCGCUGGUGCAUCCAAACCCCAUGGUAUGAUACGCUCUAUCAUACAUAAGCCUCCUUAUAUCUUCUUCGAAACAGCCGCCAUACCUACCUAUUAUGGCAUUUUCACAACCAUUCCGAGAUAUAUUGCCAUGCAACUUCCACUGUUCCAUUUUCAUAACAUGUGUGUUCAACGUCAUAUUGCUUUGCAUGAUCAUAUAAAGUUGGCAUGAUAUUUGUGGCAUUGUCACCGUUCAUCAUGAUUAUACAUGUUACGCUAGAUCAUUGCACAUCCUGGUACACUAUCAGAGGCAUUAAUAUAGAGUCAUAUUGUUCAAGUUAUCGAGUUGUAUGUAAAUACAAGUGUGAUGAUAAUCAUUAUUAGAGCAUUGUCCCAGUUGAGGAAACGAUGAUGGAGACUAUGAUUCCCGCACAAGUCGGGAUGAGACUCCGGACGAAAAAAAAGAGAGAAAAGAGAGAAGGGGCAAUGUUACUAUCCUUUUUUUUUGCAAGGUAAUGCUACUAUCCUUUUGAACACUUGUGCUUUAGAGUAGCACCAUGUUCUUCACAUAGAGAGUCUCCUGAGUUAUCACUUUCAUAUACUAGUCGUAUUUUUUCAUUAUAGAAUUUGACUUGCAUAUUCUGAUGAUGGGUUUCCUCAAAUGGCCGAGGCCUUCAUGAUCAAGCAAGUUGGAUGCACAUCCACUUAGUUUUCAUUGAGCUUUCAUACACUUAUAGCUCUUAGUUCAUCUAUUGCAUGGCAAUCCCUACUCCUCGCAUUGACAUCGAUUGAUGGGCAUGUCCAUAGCCCGUUGAUUAGCCGCGUCGAUGCGAGACUUUCUUCCUUUUCAACUUUCCUUAUUAAUCUUUAUCACCGCAUUCUAUUCAACUUAUAGUGUUAUAUCCAUGGCUCACGUUCAUGUAUUGCAUAGGAUUGAAAAUGCUGAAGCGCAUUAGAAGUACGAUCCAUUUGCCUUGUUUGACACCGGGGUGCUCAUGAUUUAUAUUUAUGCAGUGAAGGUGGGGUCAUGCCAUGCUAACAUAAUAAAAUGAGUGGGGAAAGCAUUCAUUGAGGAUUGUAUAUUUUAAAAGGUUAAUGAUUAUGUUUCUUAUAUUCAUGGAUAUUAUUAUGUUGACAUUGUUACUUCAUCGUUUCUCAAUAAUUAUACCGUAAAAAUAUUACAUGAUACACAUGUUAGGUAGCAUUUCACAUCAAAAAUUCUUUUUUUAUCAUUUACCUACUCGAGGACGAGAAGGAAUUAAGCUUGAGGAUGCUAAUACGUCUUCAACGUAUCUAUAAUUUUUGAUUGUUAUAUUAUCAAUCUUGGAUGCUUUAUAUGCUUUGUAUGCUAUUUUAUAUCUUUUUGGGACUAACGUAUUAUUUUGAAUAUUUUUUGAAUUGUUUGGAUUGCUUACCACAUGUGUCAUGUGGUUUGGGACUAACCUAUUAACCCAAUGCCAGUGCCAGUUACUGUUUUUUUGCUUGUUUUUGGCUUUUUAGAAAACCAAUACCAAACGAAGUCCAAACACAAUGAAACUUUACGGUGAUUUUUUCUGGACAAGAAGGGACCCUAAAAGGUUCGGGUGGAGGCUAGAAGAUCUACGGGAGAGCCACAAGCUCACAGGGUGCGCCCCCUGAGCUCAUGGGCCGCACGCAGCUCCAUUUGACCUAAUUUCACCUCCAUAAAUUCACAUAUAUUCCCAAACCAAUAGAGAGCCACCCGAAAUACUUUUUCCGCCGCCCAAGCUUCUAUUUUUCCGUGAGCCCAUAUGGAGGCCUUUUCCGGUACUCUGUCGAAGGGGGAAUCGAUCACAGAGCGCUUCUACAUCAUGCUUGCUGUCUUACAAUGAUGCAUGAGUAGUUCACGACAGACCUACGUGUCCAUAACUAGUAGCUAGAUGGCUUCUUAUCUCUCUUUGAUCUUCAAUACAAUGUUGUCCUCGAUCUUCUUGGAGUUCUUGUAAGUGCAUCUAGUGCCACCCCUAGUUGGUUUUGGAGUAUUGCCGACAAACUUGGUUGAGGGACUAAUGUGUUUGUGAGAAUUGCAGGAUAACACAGGUAGUAGUCCCUCAUUGAUUCGGUUUACCUACCAGAGAUGACCCCUAAAAAUGUGUGAAGACAUUGAAGACAAUGGUGGUCUGUGAAGAUAUUCACAUUGAAGACUAUGACAUGAGAAGACAUCGCAUGAAGACUAUGGAGUGCGAAGACAUAGUUGUUUCGUAGUUUCCUUUUCUUCUUUGUUGAGUCAUAGGAACCGCCGUACUGUUAAGUGGGGUCCAAGUGAACAAAGUCCGAGUGACUGAUGUGAUGCUCAACCAAAUCCUAUGUCUUCGAGCGAAGACAAUGAGUGCAAAUCUUAUCCAGAGUUGGAUGAGUCAGCUUUACUUAUAGCACAAGUCAAGCUGCCGCGUGUGUUUGAAAUCUGACUGUUGGACACGUGUCAGUUCCUUAGUGGCCCAGGGUCAUUUUGGACAAAUUAGGUCGGGUUGCCUCCUGGCUAUAAAUAGCCCACCCCCUACACCAUAAAUUGGUGGCUGCUCAUAGUUAGUGCACGGCUUUUGUCGUUUGAGAGCAACCCACCUCCGAAGCAUUUGAGAGAGAGAUCCUUGCGAGGACAAAGCCCAAAACACCCAGAGCCAAAGAGUGUUAGGCAUCACUGAAGUCUUUCUGUCCGCGUGAUCUGAAGACUUGUUACACUUGAGGACUGUGAAUCCUCCAGCCGGUUAGGCGUCGCGUUCUGAGCAUCCAAGAGUCAUUGUGGAUUGCCGGUGAACGAAAUCUAUGAAGGUUUGGAAGUCUACCUUGAAGACUUACCAGAGUGAUUGGGAGAGGACUAAGUGUCCUUAACUCAAGGGGAAUAAGGUGAAGACGCUUUCUUCUGAGUUAAAUCUCAGCCUCCCUAACCAGACGUACAGUUGUCACGGCAACUGGAACUGGUCCAACAAAUCCCUGUCCUCCCCAAGCAACUGGUUCUAUCUCUUAUCUCUCUUUACUUACAGUUUGUCUUCGUGAAGUCAUUACCUGCUUGCAUGAUCUGAUUGUCUUCACUGUGUGAAGACUGCUGUUGUUUGGCUUCAUACUAUCUUCCAUCCUGAUCCAUACUACCUAACUGCUGAUAGUCUUCGUGCUUUCACUUCAUUGCUUACUUGACUAUGGCUUGUCUAGUGUAGUCUACCUUCCGCUGCAUAUCAAUAGGUUCAUUUUUAUUGUUUGUCUUCAAAGCCCCUGUGUUUUGAAGACUUUCAUAAAAAUUGCCUAUUCACGCCCCCCCCCCUCUAGUCGAUAACUAGCACUUUCAGUUCUAUCCGAUGUAAUCUUCUUUUUGUUGGGGAACGUAGCAGAAAUUCAAAAUUUUCUACGCAUCACCAAGAUCAAUCUAUGGAGUACUCUAGCAAAGAAGGGAAGGAGAGUGGAUCUACAUACCCUUGUAGAUCGCGAUGCGGAAGCGUUGCAAGAACGCGGAUGAGGGAGUCGUACUCGUAGCGAUUCAGAUCGCGGUUGAUUCCGAUCUAAGCACCGAAGAACGGUGCCUCCGCGUUCAACACACGUGCAGCCCGGUGACGUCUCCCACGCCUUGAUCCAGCAAGGAGAGAGGGAGAGGUUGGGGAAGACUCCAUCCAGCAGCAGCACGACGGCGUGGUGGUGAUGGAGGAGCGUGGCAAUCCCGCAGGGCUUCGCCAAGCACCGCGGGAGAGGAGGAGGAGGGAGAGGGGUAGGGCUGCGCCAAAAGGAGACUUUCUCGUGUCGUUAUGGCAGCCCAAACCUCAACUAUAUAUAGGGGGGGAGGGGGCUGCGCCCCCCUCUAGGGUUCCCACCCCCAAGAGGAGGCGGCCAGCCCUAGAUCCCAUCAAGGGGGGGCGGCCAAGGGGAGGAGAGGGGGGGCGCCCCACUAGAUGGGCCCUAAGGCCCAUCUGGACCUAGGGUUUGCCCCCUCCCACUCUCCCAUGCGCCUUGGGCCUUGGUGGGGGGGCGCACCAGCCCACCUGGGGCUGGUCCCCUCCCACACUUGGCCCACGCAGCCUUCUGGGGCUGGUGGCCCCACUUGGUGGACCCCCGGGACCCUCCCGAUGGUCCCGGUACAUUACCGAUAACACCCGAAACUUUUCCGGUGACCAAAACAGGACUUCCCAUAUAUAAAUCUUUACCUCCGGACCAUUCCGGAACUCCUCGUGACGUCCGGGAUCUCAUCCGGGAUUUCGAACAACAUUCGGUAACCACGUACAUACUCUCCAUAUAACCCUAGCGUCAUCGAACCUUAAGCGUGUAGACCCUACGGGUUCGGGAACCAUGCAGACAUGACCGAGACGUUCUCCGGUCAAUAACCAACAGCGGGAUCUGGAUACCCAUGUUGGCUCCCACAUGUUCCACGAUGAUCUCAUCGGAUGAACCACGAUGUCGGGGAUUCAAUCAAUCCCGUAUUCAAUUCCCUUUGUCUAUCGAUAUGUUACUUGCCCGAGAUUCGAUCGUCGGUAUCCCUAUACCUUGUUCAAUCUCGUUACCGGCAAGUCUCUUUACUCGUUCCGUAACUCACAUCAUCCCGUGAUCAACUCCUUGGUCACAUUGUGCACAUUAUGAUGAUGUCCUACCGAGUGGGCCCAGAGAUACCUCUCCGUUUACACGGAGUGACAAAUCCCAGUCUCGAUUCGUGCCAACCCAACAGAUACUUUCGGAGAUACCUGUAGUGCACCUUUAUAGUCACCCAGUUACGUUGUGACGUUUGGUACACCCAAAGCAUUCCUACGGUAUCCGGGAGUUGCACAAUCUCAUGGUCUAAGGAAAUGAUACUUGACAUUAGAAAAGCUCUGAGCAAACGAACUACACGAUCUUGUGCUAGGCUUAGGAUUGGGUCUUGUCCAUCACAUCAUUCUCCUAAUGAUGUGAUCCCGUUAUCAACGACAUCCAAUGUCCAUGGUCAGGAAACCGUAACCAUCUAUUGAUCAACGAGCUAGUCAACUAGAGGCUUACUAGGGACAUGGUGUUGUCUAUGUAUCCACACAUGUAUCUGAGUUUCCUAUCAAUACAAUUCUAGCAUGGAUAAUAAACGAUUAUCAUGAACAAGGAAAUAUAAUAAUAACCUAUUUAUUAUUGCCUCUAGGGCAUAUUUCCAACACUUUUGUGGUGUGUUUGUUGGGAUCCGAUGAAUUGUGGGUUUAUGAUCAGAUUAUUCAUUGAAAGUAGUUGAGUCUUGUCUGAAUUUUAUUAUGCAUGAUUGUUAUAGCUUUGUAUUUCCCUCCGAUCUAUCUGUUUGGUUUGCCAACUAGAUUGAUUUAUCUUCAGUGGCAUACGUGCUUUGUAAUGGGUUCAAUCUUGCGGUGUCCUCACACAAUGAUAGAAGGGGAAGCGAGACACGUAUAAUAUUGUUGCCAUUAAGUAUAAAAUUAUGGGUGUAAUCAUAUUGCUUGAGUUUACUUUGUCUACAUCAUGUCAUCUUGCUUUAGGCGUUACUCUGUUCGUCAUGAACUUAAUACCACAGAUGCAUGCUAGAUAACGGUCGAUUAGUGGAAUAAUAGUAGUAGCUGUAGACAUGAGACGGUCUACUUGUCACGGACAUGAUGACUAUAUACAUGAUCAUUGCCAUGAAUACAUCAUAACUAUGUGUUUUUCUAUCAAUUACCCAACAGUAAUUUGUUUACCCACCAUAUGCUAUGUGUUCGAGAGAGAAGCCUCUAGUGAAAACUAUGGGCCCCGGGUCUACUUUUAUCAUAUUAUUAAAACCAAAAAUACCUUGCUGCAAUUUUACACUUUUUAUUUUACUUUUAUUUUUAUCUAUGUAUCACUAUCAGAAUUAAUCCUUGCAAAUAACGAGUUCAAGGGGAAUGACAACCCUCUUGCCCGCGUUGGGUGCAAGUAUUUGCUUUUCUCUGUGUAGGUGCUGCAGAAGGGAAUUAGUGUGGUUCUUCUAUUGGUUCAAUAACUUUGGUUCUCACUGAGGGAAAUACUUAUCUCUGUUGUACUGCUUCACCCAUCCUCUUCGGGGGAAAUCCCAACACAGUUUACAAGUAGCACUACCCCUCCCUCCUCCUCCAUAGAUGCUUGGUGAAGCCCUGCCUGAGCUCCACCGUAAAAUCCACCACCACGCCAUCGUGUUGGCCUUGAUCCCAUCCACCUAUCCAUGUCGCUUGCUGGAUCAAGAAGGAGACGUCACCGAGCGAUACGUGUGCAUAUCUCAGAGGUGCCGUCCGUGUGGUACUCGAUCGGAUUGGAUCACGAAGAGAGUACGACUACGCCAACCACAUUCAUUAGAAUGUUUUCGUUUUAGGUCUACAAGGGUUUGUAAACUUUUCCCCCUCGUUGCUAGCAUCUAGUUGAUUAGAUCUUGGAUGUUUUCAUUGUCUCGUAGGAAAAAAAUUGUUUUCCAUGGAACGAUUCCCAUCACUGACCUGCUUUAAAGAAGUGGGUAGGAGCUCAGGCGACCCGGGCUCAGCAGGUGGCCAGGCGGGAGGUCCCUAAGAGGUGCAUCCAAGAAUGCAACAACCUCCAAGUAGAGAAGGCGUCCCUAGCCGAGAGGAAGAGACAACAAGAGCUGGAGCUGGAGGAAGUUAAGUCUCGCCUAGCUGAUGCCGAGAGUGACGCGGCAGGCCCUUGAGAUCAUAGCCAGUGAGUCUGUCUGUGCUUCAACUCAUAAUCUAGGUGGAAAUUUUAUUUGCCGAUCUGUCAUAGAAAUUCAUUAUUUCCAGCAUCUUUUCCCGAGCCAGUGCUGUUGGAGUGUCACUUAGGAAGAAACUGCAGCAGCUUGGAGAGUUGAACAAGAUCGCGAGGCCGACAAUGGAGGGUAUUUUCAAGGCCCUAUGGCCUGGAGAAAGGUUGUCGGAAAACCAGUUUGACCUCCCGCCGCCUCCCGGAGGGGCAUGCUCGGAUUGCCCUGUGAAAGGCCUUAGUGGCCUGAGAAGAUGCUCGUCAAGCUUGGGCCAUGCUCCAGACCCACUAUCCGGGCUUGAACAUCUGUCCUAUUGCCCUAGUUGGUCCAAAAGGACCUGUCGGUAAGGAGAUUAUGCCUAAUGGCAAUUUCCAACGGAUCAUGCCCUAUACUAGGAUGUCCGAGCAGGAUUGUCGUUUGGAAAAUAUUAUUGAAUAGGCUAGGAGCGAUUACCCUGGAAUGUCAAGGAUGAAAAGUUGUAUAAAAACUUCACGAAUUUCGCUCUAGCCAUGUUUAUUUUUUUCUAUACCGACAACAUGAUAGGUUUGGUCCGACCUGUUUAGCAUACGCUUGCAUUAACCAGCCUUUGGCUUCAACCUCCACAACCAAACGGGGAGGCCUUAUAAUUGAUGUUAACGCAAGGAGUAGGGAUCGCCAUGCAACUAGGAUGCAAACAUAUCUAUGAAUAUAUGAAAUCUCUCGCAAGGAUUAAGUAGGGGUGUGUCCAACUUGUUUGCUCAUGAAGACCUCGAGCAUUUGAUAAAGCUCAUCAUCGGGAUGUACAAGGAAAGUUCUACAACAUAAAUUCCCCAAGCUAGUAUAAAACAUGAAGCUCAUGAAACUUUAAUUAGAUGCUAAUUAUCCAGACCAACAAAAGUUCUUUAGUAAGAGUCUCUAAGAAAUAUAUUUCAUCGAAACUGUCCUACUCAGCUCGAGUGAACAGUUAAAUCCAAAAAAAAUUGAAACAAAAUUUCAAAAAAAUCUAAAUUUUUUUGGUGAUAAAUGUUUUCAAUGCUUGCAAAGUUUCAUCAUGUAAUUAUAUUUGUGGAAGUCAUGCAAAAAUAAUAUCGAUGCUUCAAAAAAGUUAUUUUCGGAGUGCUGAAUUUGUUUAUUGCCGUGACGAAGAUGAAUGCCAGUCUAUGAUGAAACUUUGCAAGGAUAUAUAACAUGUGUCAAAUUAAGCCACACACAAAAAAUCAGAAAUUUUUGAAUUCUUUCUAAAUAUUUUCAGAUUUUAUUGCUCACCCGAGCUCAUAUGAGCUCGAGCUCAGUUAAUCCGUGUCCAUGUUUCAUCCUAUUCUACUAGCAAAAACCAAUGGAGCAGAUGGUAGUGACGUGGAAAAGAAACCAUAAUAAUUUUGUAGUGAUAUAUAAUUAAAGAAACAGAAAUUUGCAAUUGCAAAUUAGGGAAUCUUAAUGUCAAAUACUGAAUUCUUCCACCCACUAGCUGUGAGACAUAUCCAUUGCAGUGCCAAAUAAAGAAACUUUUCCAUGAAUUAAUAACAGCAAGACAAUGGUCCGCGUGUUGUAUAUAAUAAAUAUUACACAGGUUUUGCAUAUGUGUAGCCGGUGCAUAUAGACCUAUGAGGAAUUACGUAUGCAUGCUCAAGAACCUAUGUUCGUACAUACAUACACAAAUCAUAUAGAACAAAAGGUAUGCUCCGGUCCGAAAGCAGAGUCGUGCAGCAGAGUUGUGGACAAAAGUGAAGUUCACAAAAGACCUUCAUACGAGAUAGGCCAUUGUUUCAACUCGUAGUUUAGGCCUUGCCGGACUCCUCGCAACCCGGUGGCCUGAAGGCGAUGAAGCUGACGCACUGCACCUGGCGCAGGUUGUCGAAGCCGAUGACACGGACAUAGGCGUCAGGGUACUCCUUCUUGACCUCCUCCACCUCGUUGAGCACCUGUGUGGCGUCGGUGCACCCAAACAUGGGCAGCUUCCACAUUGUCCAGUAUCGACCGUCGUAGUACCCGGGGGAGCUGUUGUGCUCACGGAAGACGAAGCCAACCUUGCUGAACUCGAGGCAGGGCACCCACUUGGAGCGGAUCAG